CACUUCGGUGCAAUGUACGAGUGGCGAACGGGUGAGUAACACGUGAGAAACCUGCCUCGGAGACCGGGACAACCAUUGGAAACGAUGGCUAAUACCGGAUGUCCUCAUUUGGUCGCAUGAUCUUUUGAGGAAAUGAUCCGUCGCUCCGGGAGGGUCUCGCGGCCUAUCAGCUUGUUGGUGAGGUAAUGGCUCACCAAGGCAUCGACGGGUAGCUGGUCUGAGAGGACGAUCAGCCACACUGGGACUGAGACACGGCCCAGACUCCUACGGGAGGCAGCAGUAGGGAAUCUUGCACAAUGGGCGAAAGCCUGAUGCAGCGACGCCGCGUGGGGGAUGAAGGCCUUCGGGUUGUAAACCCCUUUCAGUAGGGACGAAAAUGACGGUACCUACAGAAGAAGCUCCGGCCAACUACGUGCCAGCAGCCGCGGUAACACGUAGGGAGCAAGCGUUGUCCGGAUUUAUUGGGCGUAAAGAGCUCGUAGGUGGUUCGGUAAGUCGGAUGUGAAAACUCAAGGC
RNAcentral lists this ribosomal RNA (516 nucleotides) under uncultured Actinomycetes bacterium. RNAcentral describes it as "bacterial SSU rRNA". It matches the Rfam family "Bacterial small subunit ribosomal RNA", at positions 76 to 608 of the family's 1533-position model. Lineage: Bacteria; Bacillati; Actinomycetota; Actinomycetes. The record is from RNAcentral.